RNAcentral lists this ribosomal RNA (133 nucleotides) under Chlorocebus sabaeus (green monkey). The record is from RNAcentral. Lineage: Eukaryota; Metazoa; Chordata; Mammalia; Primates; Cercopithecidae.
CCUCCCAUUCUGGCCCACCCCAGCAACCCAGUACCAUAGCAGCCUGAUUGUGCUCAGGCCCGGAAGCUAAUCGGGUUGGGACUGGCUGGAACUUGGAUGGGGGAUCGGCUGAAGAUACCAGUGGAUGGGGGCU